This 705-nucleotide long non-coding RNA is filed under the name Nicotiana benthamiana. Its description in RNAcentral is "long non-coding RNA (NBEN_LNC035796)". The record is from RNAcentral. Lineage: Eukaryota; Viridiplantae; Streptophyta; Magnoliopsida; Solanales; Solanaceae.
CAACGUUGCUCCCAGUGUGCACUCUUAUACUGCUUUAAUUGCUGCGCUUUAUAAAGAGAAUCGGUUAGCAGAAGUAGAUGUCUUGUACAAUAAGAUGUUGGAUAAUGGAUUGGUUCCUGACCAUGUUUUGUUUUUUACCUUGGUCAACAAUCAUCCAAGAGGGUAAUCGGUUAGCAGAAGAGAUGUCUUGUACAAUAAGAUGUUGGAUAAUGGGUUGGUUCCUGACCAUGUUUUGUUUUUUACCUUGGUCAACAAUCAUCCAAGAGGGUCAGAGAUUACUCUAGCACGCACCUUUUUGCGGGCAAUUGCCAAGAAUGGUUGUGGUAUUGACUUGUCUAACAUCCCUAGCCCUACCAGUCGAAAAGUUAUUACAGACAUCAUGUCUGAUAUUGAUCAUCUCUUGGGAGAAAUUGUGGCAAGAAACUUACCUCUGGCCAAUGUUGCUUUCAAUAUAUACAUGAUUGCUUUAUGUUUAGGAGGAAAAGAUUAUGCUCUUCUUUGCAUGGACAAUAUGGCAAGCUUAUCUCUUCAGCCUUCACUGUCAGCUUAUAACUCUAUGAUCAAGUGCCUUUACCAAAACGGAUUACUUGAGGAUGCCAAAUCCUUUGUUGAAGUUAUACAAGAUCAAGGUAAGUUCCUAAUCAAGCAACAUUCUUGAUUAUGGUGAAUGAAUACUGCAAACAGGGUGACAUACAAUCAGCAUUU